Molecule: ribosomal RNA, 914 nt
Filed under: Pseudomonas sp.
Lineage: Bacteria; Pseudomonadati; Pseudomonadota; Gammaproteobacteria; Pseudomonadales; Pseudomonadaceae
Description: bacterial SSU rRNA
Rfam family: Bacterial small subunit ribosomal RNA
Source: RNAcentral
UUUGGGGGUUUUUUUUGGUUUGUUUUUAUAGGUGUUUCCACCCCGCUCGAUUGAACGCUGGCGGCAGGCCUAACACAUGCAAGUCGAGCGGUAGAGAGAAGCUUGCUUCUCUUGAGAGCGGCGGACGGGUGAGUAAUGCCUAGGAAUCUGCCUGGUAGUGGGGGAUAACGCUCGGAAACGGACGCUAAUACCGCAUACGUCCUACGGGAGAAAGCAGGGGACCUUCGGGCCUUGCGCUAUCAGAUGAGCCUAGGUCGGAUUAGCUAGUUGGUGAGGUAAUGGCUCACCAAGGCGACGAUCCGUAACUGGUCUGAGAGGAUGAUCAGUCACACUGGAACUGAGACACGGUCCAGACUCCUACGGGAGGCAGCAGUGGGGAAUAUUGGACAAUGGGCGAAAGCCUGAUCCAGCCAUGCCGCGUGUGUGAAGAAGGUCUUCGGAUUGUAAAGCACUUUAAGUUGGGAGGAAGGGCAGUUACCUAAUACGUAUCUGUUUUGACGUUACCGACAGAAUAAGCACCGGCUAACUCUGUGCCAGCAGCCGCGGUAAUACAGAGGGUGCAAGCGUUAAUCGGAAUUACUGGGCGUAAAGCGCGCGUAGGUGGUUUGUUAAGUUGGAUGUGAAAUCCCCGGGCUCAACCUGGGAACUGCAUUCAAAACUGACAAGCUAGAGUAUGGUAGAGGGUGGUGGAAUUUCCUGUGUAGCGGUGAAAUGCGUAGAUAUAGGAAGGAACACCAGUGGCGAAGGCGACCACCUGGACUGAUACUGACACUGAGGUGCGAAAGCGUGGGGAGCAAACAGGAUUAGAUACCCUGGUAGUCCACGCCGUAAACGAUGUCAACUAGCCGUUGGGAGCCUUGAGCUCUUAGUGGCGCAGCUAACGCAUUAAGUGACCGCUGGAGACGCCGACAUGU